GUUACAAUUCCCAUGACGUCGAAUAUGUGAGGGCAUUUUAUGAAAUAUAAUUUAUGUUUUAUAAAUAGAAAUAGAAUGAUAAAGUGACUUUUAAAAUUAUAAUAAAUUAUACAUGUGUUACGUAACAAAAAUGCCUAGAUAUUUUUAAUUUUAAGCAAGGUCUUUUUGAAAAUGGGUAUUUGAUAUCAUAUAAAGGACAGUGUCAAAUUCAUACCCUUAGGUAAUUUCUGUCAACAUGCCGCCAGGUUGGGAACCAGUUGAACUUUUCAUUGUCUUUGUUAUUUCAUUUAUUGCUAACAAUAUCAACGGGAUUAUACAAAUGCUUCAAAAAUUCUCACCCCUUGGUCAAGCCAUUGGAGGUGGUGCUAUUCCUGGAUUGCCAAUUGGAUGACAUUUAUAAUACUACAAAUACUUUCUGCAGCAGUUACAAUUAAUAUUGCAUCGACAUUGCUUAGUUAUAUUAUAUUACUUGUAAUAAAAGUAUUAAUAAUGGAAAAAAUAAAAUAGAUCUUCAAAAUGUCUAAUUAUACUAAA
This is a long non-coding RNA of Leptopilina boulardi, 534 nucleotides long. RefSeq lists it as uncharacterized. The record is from RefSeq and is a predicted model, not a curated record. NCBI's taxonomy places the organism in Eukaryota, Metazoa, Arthropoda, Insecta, Hymenoptera, Figitidae. The transcript is spliced from 2 exons.